This 434-nucleotide ribosomal RNA is filed under the name gamma proteobacterium SCGC AAA041-P18. RNAcentral describes it as "bacterial SSU rRNA". It matches the Rfam family "Bacterial small subunit ribosomal RNA", at positions 355 to 779 of the family's 1533-position model. The record is from RNAcentral. Lineage: Bacteria; Pseudomonadati; Pseudomonadota; Gammaproteobacteria.
UGGGGAAUAUUGGACAAUGGGGGCAACCCUGAUCCAGCAAUGCCGCGUGUGUGAAGAAGGCCUUAGGGUUGUAAAGCACUUUAGGCUGGGAGGAAGGCGUGAAGUUUAAGAGACAUUACGUUUGACUGUACCGGCAGAAUAAGCACCGGCUAACUCUGUGCCAGCAGCCGCGGUAAUACAGAGGGUGCGAGCGUUAAUCGGAGUUACUGGGCGUAAAGGGCGCGUAGGCGGUUUGUUAAGUGAGAUGUGAAAUCCCUGGGCUUAACCUAGGAACUGCAUCUCAUACUGGCGAGCUAGAGUAUUGUAUAGAGGGUAGUGGAAUUUCCGGUGUAGCGGUGAAAUGCGUAGAGAUCGGAAGGAACACCAGUGGCGAAGGCGGCUACCUGGACAAAUACUGACGCUGAGGCGCGAAAGCGUGGGGAGCAAACAGGAUU